Molecule: long non-coding RNA, 336 nt
Filed under: Setaria viridis
Lineage: Eukaryota; Viridiplantae; Streptophyta; Magnoliopsida; Poales; Poaceae
Description: long non-coding RNA (SVIR_LNC002521)
Source: RNAcentral
CUGCACAUGGCGGUUUCAGCACUUGCUGUUUCUGAAUGUUUGUUCAUGUGCUGACGCAUUUGCAUUUGGUGAUGCUUCGCCGUUGCAGACGCAGUACUUGGUGUCACGCUGGGGCUCUGACCCGAACUCUCUGGGGUCCUAUUCGUGCGACCUGGUCGGGAAGCCGGCCGACGUCUGCGUGAGGUUCUCCGCUCCCGUGGAGAACCUGUACUUCGCCGGUGAGGCGGCCAGUGCCGACCACUCGGGGUCCGUGCACGGCGCGUACUCGUCGGGCCUCGCCGCCGCAGAAGAUUGUAGGAAGCGCCUCCUGACGCUGAAGGGCGUCCCGGACCUAGU